GGUCGAGCGGCAGGAAGUGCGCUCUCCCACCGCGUCCUGAGCACAGUGACCCCCUCCCGUCCGACGCGCGGGGGAGAAUUGGGAUGGCGGGAGAGAGAGGGGUACCCUGGGGAGGAGGCGCCUCGCGGGCACGUUGCGCUGGAGCGAGCCCUCGCUCAGGGCCUAGCUCUUCCGUUGGAGAGGCCCCGGGCUGUCCUCAGUGGCUGGCUGUGCCCUGCAGGGAUGGGGCAGGAAGGAAGAGGCCUUGGGCAGCUGGCGUGUGCCCCAGUGAUCUGGCUGAAACAGGCCCAGAGACCCCUGCUGAUGCCCCGAGGACCGAGGUUCCCAGGGUGCCUCAAGUCCACAGUGAGCUGCCCACGCUGCACAGGAGCCAGACUGGUAGGCUGGUCCCCUUGCACCCUCCAGGAAGCCCUGCUUGGGGUGGCGGGAGGUUGUUCUGCACAGCUGGCCUCGCCACCUGCCUGGCACCGAGACUAGGAGGCCUG
This 485-nucleotide long non-coding RNA is filed under the name Bos mutus (wild yak). RNAcentral describes it as "lncRNA (ENSBMUG00000023466.1)". Lineage: Eukaryota; Metazoa; Chordata; Mammalia; Artiodactyla; Bovidae. The record is from RNAcentral.